This is a non-coding RNA of Oryctolagus cuniculus (rabbit), 1299 nucleotides long. Lineage: Eukaryota; Metazoa; Chordata; Mammalia; Lagomorpha; Leporidae. The record is from RefSeq and is a predicted model, not a curated record.
CGGGGUGCGGAUGCACGGCUGGCUCUGCGCCCCCGCAGCGCGCGCAAGAAUGCGCAGUCCCAGGCGCCCGCUCGGAGGCACAUCCUCUCCAUUUCUCCUCGCCGGCGACUGUGACACGUCUGCGGCCGCACAUUGUGAGCGAUUGUGGGAAAGGGCCGCGAGCCUUUCCGCCGCUCCGGGCCGCCCUAAUGAGGGAACAAUCGGGCUACACGGAGCUGGCGGCGGGGUCAGCGCGGCGUCCCGCACAAUGCGCGCGGCGCCCGAGCCCCUGACAGCGCCAUAAAUUGGCCGUGCAAAGCCGAGCGCUUGGUGGUCUCCCCUGCAGAAAGGAACCGCCGCCGAGAGCGCGAAAAGGCGAGUCGGGGAACCCGCCAGGGAGCCAGUGGCGUUUUCCUCCACAUUACCUUGUUGGAACUCAGCGUAGCAGAGCAGGAGCAGUGAAGAAUAAGGAGAAAGAAAAGUAGGGGUGUAAGCCAUGUCCAGGAAGCAGCACAACUUGCCGCUCUCCAUGCAAAACCCUCAAAUUAGAAUCUUUCCAGCUAUGUAGGGUUGUAACGUAAAACUCUCAUUCAAGAUCAAAAUUCCACAUAUUUGCAACCUGCAAACAUCUAAAAUUCACACUUCAACAUCUGUGUGGCUGCCAACAUCUACUGCCAUCAUCUACUGCCAUCUAUAUCAUGUUUUUCCAGAGUGGAAGGAAAAAAAAAUGAGAUUACUACUCCUUCAAGUCUUCCAAACCCAUGUUCCAGUUCUCGGUACACCGGAUGGCUAACCAACUAGGAUCCACUUGUGCCAACCUAGGCAGGCACGGCAAGACAGUUAAUUGACAACAGCUGAAGUUGUCUUAACGGGAUGAGCGCUCGAACAUGUCCGGACAGAUCCAGGCAGCUGGUGAAAACUCACGAAUUCGCUGCAGCACAGAAGAAAUUGACAUAAAUGGAGUGGGUAGAAGAAGAUGAUCUCUGUUUUGAUUACAUGGAAAUGCUUUCGUCGUCCUUUUCUUCAGUCCCACGGCAGCCACGGGGAAACAGAGUGAUGGAAAAGAUCUAGUCAUUUGUCCAAGGAGGCGGUGGAGCUAGAAUUUCGAACCUGGCAGUUUCAAAUAGUUCUGCAGUCUGUAUCAUGCACCACGGCACCUCAUAGCCAGAUAGCAAUAACAGUAGAUAUUGCUUGUUGUCUUGUAUUUGUUGUGUGUGCAUCAUGGGCCUCUUCUUCUGGUCUUGACAGUGGAAAUUGAGAAUGACUUGUCUGCCUCUCCCAGAGCCCACUGUCCUUCUACCAUGCGACCUGGACUUUGUG